CUAAUACAUGCAAGUCGAGCGAGCGGAACCAACAGAUUUACUUCGGUAAUGACGUUGGGAAAGCGAGCGGCGGAUGGGUGAGUAACACGUGGGGAACCUGCCCCUAAGUCUGGGAUACCAUUUGGAAACAGGUGCUAAUACCGGAUAAUAAAGCAGAUCGCAUGAUCAGCUUUUGAAAGGCGGCGUAAGCUGUCGCUAAGGGAUGGCCCCGCGGUGCAUUAGCUAGUUGGUAAGGUAACGGCUUACCAAGGCGACGAUGCAUAGCCGAGUUGAGAGACUGAUCGGCCACAUUGGGACUGAGACACGGCCCAAACUCCUACGGGAGGCAGCAGUAGGGAAUCUUCCACAAUGGACGCAAGUCUGAUGGAGCAACGCCGCGUGAGUGAAGAAGGUUUUCGGAUCGUAAAGCUCUGUUGUUGGUGAAGAAGGAUAGAGGUAGUAACUGGCCUUUAUUUGACGGUAAUCAACCAGAAAGUCACGGCUAACUACGUGCCAGCAGCCGCGGUAAUACGUAGGUGGCAAGCGUUGUCCGGAUUUAUUGGGCGUAAAGCGAGCGCAGGCGGAAAAAUAAGUCUAAUGUGAAAGCCCUCGGCUUAACCGAGGAACUGCAUCGGAAACUGUUUUUCUUGAGUGCAGAAGAGGAGAGUGGAACUCCAUGUGUAGCGGUGGAAUGCGUAGAUAUAUGGAAGAACACCAGUGGCGAAGGCGGCUCUCU
Molecule: ribosomal RNA, 715 nt
Filed under: uncultured Bacilli bacterium
Lineage: Bacteria; Bacillati; Bacillota; Bacilli
Description: bacterial SSU rRNA
Rfam family: Bacterial small subunit ribosomal RNA
Source: RNAcentral